GAUGAAGAACGUAGCGAAAUGCGAUACUUGGUGUGAAUUGCAGAAUCCCGUGAACCAUCGAGUCUUUGAACGCAAGUUGCGCCUCAAGCCAUUAGGUUGAGGGCACGUCUGCCUGGGCGUCACAUAUCGUUGCCUGAUGCCAGUUUCCUCGUGAUGGGUGACUGUGCAGGGCGAAUGAUGGCUUCCCGUGAGCAUUGUUGCCUCAUGGUUGGUUGAAAAUUGAGUCCUUGGUAGGGAGCGCCGUGAUAGAUGGUGGUUGAGAGACGAACGAGACCCAAUCAUGUGAGACCCCUACCGAAUUUGGCCUUCAUGACCCACAUGCGUCUUUGGAACGCUCAUGACGAGACCUCAGGUCAGGCGGGGCUACCCGCUGAGUUUAAGCAUAUCAAUAAGCGGAGGA
Molecule: unclassified non-coding RNA, 400 nt
Filed under: soil metagenome
Description: partial contains 5.8S ribosomal RNA, internal transcribed spacer 2, and large subunit ribosomal RNA
Rfam family: 5.8S ribosomal RNA (bases 1-122)
Source: RNAcentral